This 1835-nucleotide long non-coding RNA is filed under the name Sus scrofa (pig). RNAcentral describes it as "lncRNA (ENSSSCG00065071206.1)". Lineage: Eukaryota; Metazoa; Chordata; Mammalia; Artiodactyla; Suidae. The record is from RNAcentral.
GGAGCAGAGUCACCUACUUGCCACCUUCUUCCUCCCAGCUGGACUUUCAGCAUGAGAAGCUGUCUUGGAAGCACCAAGCCUGACAGUGAGUUCAGAAACCAGGACUUGAAAGAGAGCCCUGCCGCUACUCGGGGAGGGUUUGCUAAAAGGUAGUGAAUUCGUUUCUUCCUCUCCUUUCCUUUCUUUCCUUCCUUCCUUUCUUACCAGUGGUUCUAAAAUCACUUGGAAGACUUGCUAGGCAUGCAAAUUUCUAGACCUUAUCCUGUACCUAUCAAAUUAUAUCUCUGGGUGUGAGGCGUGGGAAUCUGCAUUUUCCAAGCAAAUUAUUCACACUUUGAGAAACACUGCUUUGUUAUCGCCAAACUAGUUCCUUACAUCCAAAUGGUGCUUGUUUCUAGGCUAAAAUUGUAGUCUCAGGGGCAGUAAAGCUUAAUAGGGCUAGCCAAUUCAUGUGCUAUUAUUAGUAUUAUUAUUUUGUCUUUUUAGGGCCACACCUGCAGCAUACAGAGGUUCUCAGGCUAGGUGUCUAAUUGGAGCUGUAGCUGCCAGCCUAGGCCACAGCCACAGCAAGGCCAGAUCUGAGUCUUGUCUGCGACCUAUACCACAGAUCACGGCCGCACUGGAUCCUUAACCCACUGAGCAAGGCCAGGAAUCGAACCCAUGUCCUCAUGGACACUAGUCAGGUUCGUUAACCACUGAGCCACUAUGGGAACUACCCCCCGCCCCCCGUGGCUUAUGGAAGUUCCUGGGCGAUGGAUAGAAUCUGAGCCACAGCUGCGACCUGUGCCACAGCUGCAAUAAUGCUGGGUUUUUAACCCCUGGGCCUGGCUGGGGUUAAAACCUCAGCCACUGCAGAGACAACGCCAGAUCCUUAACCUGCUGCAUCACAGCAGGAGCUUCUAAUGUAUGUAUUCUUUCAAACAAUCCAUGCCAGAUCCUGAACUAGGUGCUAGGGAUACAAAGAUGAGUAAAACUAGACAUGGUCUUCUUUCUGGUGGAGCUUAGGGUCUAGUGGAGGAUACAGGCAUUGACCAGGGACUCACAAAUAUAAAAUUAAAUGCAUAGCAUGGCGUGUAUGCUAUAACGGGAAAACUUGUGAUGUACUAAAAAUGUGUUAGAGGGACUUGACUUAGUAUAGGGAGUUAUGUACCCAGCGAAAGUGUCCUUUGAAAUAAGAUCUAAAAAAGAUAAGUGGAGUCAAUUAAGCUAAGUCAGAUAGGGAGCAGUAGAGGGGGUAAGAAAGGCAGAAUUUUCUGGACAAAGAAUAUGAUAUUGCAAAAGUCCUAUAAUGAGAGACUUAGGCAAGUGUUUUGGGGCAAGAGGAAGCAGAGUUUGAGAUGCAGCCUGGGAGGAAACAAGGGGCCAGCCCAUGAGAGUCUUUGAAAGUCGUGUUGGGAGUCCAUUUAUAUCUUAAGAACAAUGGGAUUUCAUUUUGAGUUGAAAUUAGAUAACAUGGUCAAUUUUACAUUUUGAAAAGGUCACUCUGGCUGCUGUGGAGAAAGAUUGAGGGCAGCAACCCUGGAAGUGUUGUCAUCCUUCUUAUUUUAUUGGUAAGGAAGUGAGCCUUGGAGUUCUUGUCAUGGCUCAGUGGAAACGAAUCUGACUAGCAUCCAUGAGGACGGAGAUUCCAUCCCUGGCCUCGCUCAGUGGGUUAAAGACCUGGCAUUGCUGUGAGCUGUGGUGUAGGUUGCAGGUGCAGUUUGGAUCUGAUGUGGCUGUGGCUGUGGCAAAGGCCGAUGGCUACAGCUCUAAUUCAACCCCUAGCCUGGGAACCUCCAUAUACCACUGGGGCAGCUCUGAAAAGCAUAAAAAAAAAAAAAAAAAAAAAAAAAAAA